UUGUUUAAUUGUGCUCAGCCAUUUUCUCUCACAGACUGAUAACUUGAACUGAGGUGCGCUGACUGAUUCUACAGAGAGCCGUCCAGCUUGUUGAUCAAAGACAAAUCCCCAGGAGAGCACUGAGGUGAAACAAAGUGAGAGCAGUUAUGAUCGUUCACAUGAGAUGGAGUCUCUUUAUUUUAUGGUUUUUACAUCAUGUAGACUUCUCCUGGGCAGAGAGGUUCACUGUUGUUGGUCCUUCUCCUUCCAUUGUUUCUUACGUUGGUGAAGAUGUCAUCCUGCUCGCCUCCCUGUC
This is a long non-coding RNA of Polypterus senegalus (gray bichir), 295 nucleotides long. RefSeq lists it as uncharacterized. The record is from RefSeq and is a predicted model, not a curated record. The transcript has 3 exons. NCBI's taxonomy places the organism in Eukaryota, Metazoa, Chordata, Cladistia, Polypteriformes, Polypteridae.